Capsicum annuum is the source of this 711-nucleotide RNA transcript. RefSeq lists it as uncharacterized. NCBI's taxonomy places the organism in Eukaryota, Viridiplantae, Streptophyta, Magnoliopsida, Solanales, Solanaceae. The transcript is spliced from 3 exons. The record is from RefSeq and is a predicted model, not a curated record.
AUCAGAUCAAGUUUUUCACAAACAAAAAAUUAACAACGGAUCCAAGAUUGGCAAAGUUGUGUGCCAUUUGUUGUGAUAUAAGGCUUGCUGCUGUCUAUGAUGAAAAAUUUGAUGAAAAUAUUAUAGUCUUGUCUGAUGUGCUUCUGAAUGGUAUUUAAGUCGUCUCAAGUAUUAUGUCGAAGGACUGUCCACUCAACUUUUAGACGGGGAGCCUUGGAGUAACUGGUAAAGUUGCUGGUCACGGGUUCAAGCCUUGGAAACAACCCCUUGCAGAAAUGUAAGAUGAAUUUGGGUGGUACAAUCGGCUAAAAGUGGCAAUUCAACUUGCAAAUCUCUUACUAUCCUUGCAUGAAAAGGAUAUUAUAUUAGGCAGUGUUACUGCAUCAUGCGUUAUGAUACUAGAUAAGGAAAUGAAUAUAAAACUAUUCGACUAUGGUCCUGUUCCUGAUCGUUUUUACGGAAAAAAUUCUGAUGUAACUAUUUAUUGUCGUCCCAUCAAUGAUAUGUAAUGCCUCGUCUACCAUGUAGCUUGAGGUUUGGGUUUGUGUGGCUCCGAAAGUGAAGAGUCCGAACAACUUAGUUUAUUAUUGUGCUGGUUAGGUCUAGUUGUUAACAACGGUAUCCAAACAUAAGCAUGAAGAUAUAUCUCGUACUUGAGUCAUGGAGGAACAAUUAUUUAAUGUCCUUAAGAUCUGAUCUCUUGAUUCCUGA